UCUUCUCUCCAUUUCACAUUUUUCUUCAUCUUCCAUGGGAAGGAACUUUGAAACUUCCAUAUCUUUUUCAAGUUAAUUUCAAUUCUCAUGCUUAUGAGCACUUUUCCAUAGGGUUUUUCAUGCUCCUUCACUUCUACACCUCAAGAACCCUCAAAAGUCUUUCCUUAAUACUUUUUCUCACUAGUUGGAAGUUUAGAGAGAGAAAAAGAGGGAUUUUUCAUGAUUGCUUGAGUAUUCUUGAGAAAGAAUUCAACUACAAAUUUACCAAGGUGAGUAAUGAAUUAGGAUUGAUUUUAGGUUGUUGAUAAUGGCUAGUAAUUGGAGUUGUGAGUUGUUUUAUUGUUGAGGUUUGUUUAUUUAUUUCUAGUGAUACUAGAGUAGAGAGAAUAGAUAGCUAAUCAAAAAGCAAUUAGAAACUAGUUAGGAAUAACUAGCAGAACUUGAUUUAGGAGAGAGUUUUUGGAAUUAUAUUAAUGCCAAUUUGGGUUGCUGGUGAUAUUGUGUGUGUGUAGGUUCCAACAAGGCCUCACAUGUCCAUUUGGAGCAUUAGUUGAGGCUAGAGUCAAGCAAAAGAAUCAACAAGACCGGUGAGUGAACUUGCAUCAAAGUGUUUUUAGGAAAUACAUAUGUGUUGGGAUGAAGCAUUUAAAUGAUUUUACUUGGUUUCAUUAAAUUACACAUGGGAACAAGCCCUUGAUGAAAUGUUUUGAUGUUGUGAAAAUGUGAAAUAUGUAAAAAGAUAAAUCCAUGUGCUUCUAUAUUAUGUUGGUAUGUAUAUAUAUGAAUAUGUGUUGUGCAUUGAUGAAUAAUGUUGUGUGAUAAUGAUGACCCAGCUAUGUGCGAUGUGGGAGUGCACAUGAGCUGAUGAUGACCCGACUAUGUGCGAGUAGGGAGUACACAUAAGCCGAUGAUGACUCGGCUAUAUGCAAGUAGGGAGUGCGCAUAAGCCGAUGAUGAUGACCUGGCUAUGACGAUGAAUGAAGUGGGGUGGUGUACGUGUUUAUGUAUAUUUAUAUAUGUAUAUGUAAUAGAAAGUUUAUGAUUAUAAUAUGUGAUUGAAAUGAAUAAUGAGAAAUUUGAUUAUUGUCAAUGUGUUCACUUUGAUGUGCAAUAUGGUAGGAAUGGAUUUUGUGGCAUGUGAAAAUCCCUUAAUUUGUCAUCUGCCCUGAAUCUCGCUGCAGCGAGAAUGCAAGAAACUUUCAAGUGGUGGGGGCACAAACCAGUCCUGUUUCUCACUGCAGCUAAAAAGAAUUCUCGCUGCAGUGAAAAUGGAUUCUCGCUAUAGUGAGAAACUCUCGGGUGGUCCCAAAAUUCUGGUACAGUAUUUUCACUUUGACGAAGAUUUUGACCACCUUCCGUUCAGAACUGGGAAAAGUAGUAAACAUCAAAGUUGUAGCCCUUCCUCUUAGCUUUCUAAUGGUCUAAAAAUCAGAUCAAUUGGACUUUUGCAGUGGGAUAUAUGCUAGAAAAACUUAAACAUAUGCAAAUUGAGACCGUUUCUCACUACAACGAGAAACUUGCUGCCGUGCUUGCUACCUUGCUUGAUUUUGACCUAUUUUUCACCCAUUUAACUUCAUGGAUUGAUCAUGGGUUUUUGAAACACUAUGAGGUUAUCAAUCAAAGUUUGAAAUAAGAGGUUUUUAGUAAGAAAUUAAAUCAAUUGCAUUGUUUUUGAAACAAGUGCAUCAUGAUUUUCAAAUUCUUCCUAUUGAAUGCUUGUUCCCUUCUUAUGUUUACUCAUUGAGUUUUAUACUCACAUUUUUAAACUUCAUGUUUUUAGAUUUAGAGGCAGCUAGGACCUAGAUUGAGUUAUCCACGUAUGCUUGCUUUCUUGGUAGGUACUAUAACAUCUCAGUAGUUGUACCUUCACCCACGGUCACUCUGUUGACGGUCAAGGGUCUGUUACCUGUGAACAUGCAUAUGUAAUGAAAUCCGCUUGUAUCCAUGUUAUAAGUCAAAUAUGUAUAUUUGAUUACUGAUACCACUAGGAGUUGG
This 1995-nucleotide long non-coding RNA is filed under the name Theobroma cacao (cacao). RNAcentral's name for it is "long non-coding RNA (TCAC_LNC003366)". Lineage: Eukaryota; Viridiplantae; Streptophyta; Magnoliopsida; Malvales; Malvaceae. The record is from RNAcentral.